AGGACGAACGCUGGCGGCGUGCUUAACACAUGCAAGUCAAGGGGGCCCAGCAAUGGGCAACCGGCGAACGGGUGCGUAACACGUGAGCAACCUACCGAAAUGUGGGGGAUAGCCGGCCUAACGGCCGAGUAAUACCGCAUACGCUCUCGAUGAGGCAUUUCAUUGAGAGGAAACCUACGGGACAUUUCGAGGGGCUCGCGGCCUAUCAGCUAGUGGCGAGGUAACGGCUCACCAAGGCAACGACGGGUA
Molecule: ribosomal RNA, 249 nt
Filed under: uncultured soil bacterium
Lineage: Bacteria
Description: partial 16S ribosomal RNA
Rfam family: Bacterial small subunit ribosomal RNA
Source: RNAcentral